Molecule: long non-coding RNA, 1142 nt
Organism: Clupea harengus (Atlantic herring)
Lineage: Eukaryota; Metazoa; Chordata; Actinopteri; Clupeiformes; Clupeidae
Source: Ensembl
UGUGUGUGUGUGUGUGUGUGUGUGUGUGUGUGUGUGUGUGUGUGUGUGUGUGAGAGUGUGUGUGUGUCUCUGUGUGUGUGUGUGUGAGAGAAAGUCAUUAUGUCAUUAUUCCAUUAUCCCUAUUUAAAGCUUGUUUUCUUGCUUUUUUUACAAUGCAUUUUUCCAACUUGGCAUUUGUACAGAAUUAUUUAUACUUUGCUUUUAAAUUGUGGAAAUCGGUUACAGUUAUUUAUUUAACGUUAUGUUUCUGUUUUGUCCCAAUGCUUUAAAAAAAAAAAAAAGAAGAAGAAAUGUGUUAAAUAGAAAGCAUUGGCUGCACAAGGAAUCCACACUGAUUUCCUGCUGCAGCAGAGAGAGAGAGAGUGGGUUUACACAAACACAUCUAAUCAUCUAACCGCUCGUUCAGUCCCAAACCACUAACUUAUCAGCAGGUUCUGUUAUUGUUCAUUAUGUUUUACCAAACUUCAAUGGAUUUGUCCAUGAGGAUAUAUAUAUAUUUUUUUUUUGUACAUAAUUCUUAUCUCCGCCAUAUGAAUCUCUUUGAACGGCAAUAGCACUGCAUAUACAUAAGACUUCAUGACUUUGGAGCUGAGGGUUUCAUAUUCGCCCCGCGGCUUUACCGGAAACCCUCUUUGUUCUUUGACAUGCAUGGAUGUGGAAGAAGAUAAAUGCUUUUAACAUUUUGUACCAUCCCAUACGAAGCCUUUUUGUAUGUGUGUCUCAAAAGUAACAUUUGCAGGAUUGCUUUGUGUAAAUACAUCAGAACUUAAAAGAAAAACAAAAAAAAACAAAAAACACUAUAUGAAGAGUUGUUUGUGUUUAAGAAAAAAAAAUGUGUCUGUGCAAUUCAUGUACAAUUGCAGCUAGAACUAUUAAAGUUUUAUUUAGCUAUUUUAAUAUUCUACUUCUUGGCUCAUUUAUUUCCCUUCCCACAAUUUGUGCCUGUGUUAAAAGCUCUCUGCAUCUGUCACGUGGUAGUAGGCUUCAGCUUGUGCCUGUGUUAAAAGCUCUCUGCAUCUGUCACGUGGUAGUAGGCGCUUGGCUAACUGGCAGAUUUGCCAACCUAACCUGAUUUGCAUACUCCCUUAAGACUCUUCAAACGAUCUUGCCUGGAUUGAAAUCUAGUUAGUCGGGUUAGUGGC